CCCCCUUUUGACAUCAUCGAAAAGCUGAUCCAUCAAGUAAAAAUUGUUUAAUAAUUCAUGGCCACUGGGGCUAUCACUAAAACAAGCAAGAUUCAGAGCAAGAGAUAACUAUGCAUUGAAUUAAGCAGAAGUAGAUCAAGUGAAGCAAAAGAGGUCCAUUUUAAACAAAACAGAUACAAUUAUUGCUACCCAGUAAAACAAAAAGAGAAACAAGGUAAACAGGAG
RNAcentral lists this long non-coding RNA (225 nucleotides) under Capsicum annuum. RNAcentral's name for it is "long non-coding RNA (CANN_LNC013127)". Lineage: Eukaryota; Viridiplantae; Streptophyta; Magnoliopsida; Solanales; Solanaceae. The record is from RNAcentral.